AGGAGGCCACUCCUGAUGCUAAUGGGACUGGAGUCACUCUCCUCCACUCUGCUUUUGUGCUGCAAGCCACAAGGAGGAACAUCCGGAGGAAUGAAACACUGGGAGGUCAGGUGUGUUCAUUCUGUGUCCAGCCUUGGGGUCAGCAGUCGUGGGAAACGGCACUGCUUUAUUCGGGUCAGUCACAAUGCCCUCUUACCUGUGGCUGACCCCUGCUAGAAGAACAAGUGACCUCCCCCGCAUCACUCCUCACCCCUCUUCUCUCUCAUCCCUUCAUUCCCUUCAAUCAGCUCUCCACCUCCACAAUCUACAGCGGCAUCUUUCAACCGCCCUCUCACUCGGCGAGGGGCCAAGAGCGCCAUUCAAAAAAGUUCAGAGCCUGACUGAAGAUGGAAAAAUUACAGGUUUUCGGCUCCAGGGUCCAGCCUCUGGACUUCAGGUUAGAGAUUCUGGGCUCUAGUCUCAAGGUUUGAGGCUCCACAGUCCAGGGUCCAGGGUCCAGGCUCUGGAGUCUAGGGUCUAGGUUAUGGGCUCCAGGUUCCAGGAUCUGGGUUCUUGUCUCCAGGCUCCAUGUCCCAGGGUGCAGGUUCCAGGCCAGGGCUCGAGGUUCUUGGAAAUCCAAGUGAGGCUGCACAAUAGCUGCCUUUCUUUCACAUUCAGAUGCUACAAAGUAGGCAUGCUCAAAAGCCUUAAUCCCACAUUCACAAGCCAGAGGGACAAGAGAAGCCUUUCACACAGGAAGGUGGUGUUCCUGGGUCUCAGGUAUGCCCUCGCACCCUCCCUCUCUCCUUCCUUCCCUCCAUCCCUCCACAACUUCUCCCUGCCAUGUCAAAAGAAAGAAAGGGAAAGAAAAACAAUUAUCUAAAUUAUAGUGAUUCGUUUUUCCGCUCUUGUUUCUCAGAACA
Long non-coding RNA from Silurus meridionalis, 902 nucleotides. RefSeq lists it as uncharacterized. The transcript is spliced from 3 exons. The record is from RefSeq and is a predicted model, not a curated record. Lineage: Eukaryota; Metazoa; Chordata; Actinopteri; Siluriformes; Siluridae.